ACGUUUCAGAAUUCCGAACCCCUGCAGGCUGCUGUUGCUGGGAGAGGGUGGUGCCCUUUGCAACCAGUUGGGAAGAAGGCGCCGAGCUGCUGCCGUGCGACAGCGCUUCUCUUCCUCCCCAAAGAGGAAGGAGAGUUUUGCCAGCUAAUUAGACUGCAGUGCUUCCCAGCUGAUGGGUGCCCCCCAAGUCCUAAUACACCUGUGUCGUUCUGCUAUCCUCCAGUACUGAAAGUUCCAGUUCAUGUGAGCACCUAGACAAGCCAGAAAAGAAGCCUCCCUCUUUUCUUUACAGUCUGUGUGGUCCAGGCGAGACAUUUGAAUCCCAGGGAGUGCUGUGUGACCCAGACGCAAACCCACAGGCACAGGCACAGCGAUUGCUGAAGGACCAAUACAAACAGUCAGGUUUGCAUGAUAAGGCUGGAAUGGGACCUUCUCUCCUCUGCCUGCCGGGCAACAGCAGAGGCUGGUCCUCCUGAGCUCCUGCCUCCUGAGCUGCUGUAUCCUGAGCUGCUGUAUCCUGAGCUGCUGGCUCCUGAGCUGCUGUAUCCUGAGCUGCUGGAUUCUGAGAUGCUGGAUCCUGAGCUGCUGGCUCCUGAGCAGCUGGAUCCUGAGAUGCUGGAUCCUGAGAUGCUGGCUCCUGAGCUGCUGGAUCCUGAGAUGCUGGAUCCUGAGAUGCUGGAUCCUGAGAUGCUGGACCCUGAGAUGCUGGAUCCUGAGCUGCUGGAUCCUGAGCUGCUGGAUCCUGAGCUGCUGCUGGCUGUGCGUGCGACCUUCCAAUGGUACAAAGGCAGCAGAAGGACCAAGGGGAGAGGAGAGAAACAGACUUCAUAACAGCACCUGAGCCCUGAGUCUUGCUGGGCCUUGGACCACAUCUCCCAUUACACCUUUCAGAUGUGAGCCAAAAAAUUUCCUCUUGUUCUUAA
Non-coding RNA from Peromyscus maniculatus bairdii (prairie deer mouse), 923 nucleotides. NCBI's taxonomy places the organism in Eukaryota, Metazoa, Chordata, Mammalia, Rodentia, Cricetidae. The record is from RefSeq and is a predicted model, not a curated record.